Molecule: long non-coding RNA, 683 nt
Filed under: Nicotiana benthamiana
Lineage: Eukaryota; Viridiplantae; Streptophyta; Magnoliopsida; Solanales; Solanaceae
Description: long non-coding RNA (NBEN_LNC022091)
Source: RNAcentral
GCACAUCCAUCUUGACCAACACCACCAAAACCAGAUACUAAACAUAUAAAAGUAUAAGCAACAAUGCUAUUUUCAAAAAACAACAACAAAAAAAUAAUAAAAAUCAAUCAAACCCGUGAUUUACAUAUUAGAAGGUGCUUUGGGCGUGCCAUCUCCAAUAACUACAAGAUCAUUUCCAACUUGGCCACUUUCAAACUUGUCAUAAUCAUUAUGCAUCUCACGAAAGUCAGGAUCAUUAUGCUGUUGCUUAUGGUGAAAAUGAGAAACUAACAAUUUUAGUAUUAUGUAUAUUAUAAGCAUAUAUUUUCAACAAUAUACUAUAGCAUUAAAUUAUAUAAAAGAUGAAUACCGCAGAAUUUCCCUCUCGUUUCAUUGAUUGCCUACCAAUAGCUGCAAGCACCUCCUCAAACUUGUUCUCUACAAAAAGCUUCAAAGCUUUUAACUCCUUCAUUGCCUCAGCAUUAGUAGGUUGGGAAUCACCUCCAGUACUUUCAUACAUACUUUGUGUUUUUGGUAAUUGAGUGCCAAAAACCUGAAAGCUAUCGGUAGGUUGGGAAUCAACUCCAGUACUUUCAGGCAUACUUUGUGUUUUUGGUAAUUGAGUGCCAAAAACGUAAAAGCUAUCGGGCUGACUGUCACUGCACUCAGCUUCAAUUUCAAAGCUUAGACAACGCACAUCACAU